RNAcentral lists this unclassified non-coding RNA (220 nucleotides) under Hevea brasiliensis (rubber tree). Lineage: Eukaryota; Viridiplantae; Streptophyta; Magnoliopsida; Malpighiales; Euphorbiaceae. The record is from RNAcentral.
GGCACAAUGAACUUACAUGGUGCUCUUCAUGUACGAGCCACCAAGGUGGGGUCCAGUACAGUCUUGAGUCAGAUAAUUUCUUUGGUUGAGACAGCGCAGAUGUCUAAAGCUCCUAUUCAGAAAUUUGCCGACUAUGUUUCCAGCAUAUUCGUACCCACCGUUGUUCUCAUGUCAUUGUUGACGUUCUUAGGAUGGUUCAUCUGCGGGUCAAUCGGAGCAU